This 263-nucleotide ribosomal RNA is filed under the name uncultured archaeon. RNAcentral describes it as "partial 16S ribosomal RNA". It matches the Rfam family "Archaeal small subunit ribosomal RNA", at positions 748 to 1009 of the family's 1478-position model. The record is from RNAcentral.
AGGGUGUAAACGCUGCAGACUUGGUGUUGGAAAUCCUUCGAGGGUAUUCAGUGCCGGAGAGAAGUUGUUAAGUCUGCUACUUGGGGAGUACGUCCGCAAGGAUGAAACUUAAAGGAAUUGGCGGGGGAGCACCGCAACGGGAGGAGCGUGCGGUUUAAUUGGAUUCAACACCGGAAAACUCACCAGGGGAGACUGUUACAUGAAACCCAGACUAAUGAUCUUGGUUGAUUUUUCAGAGAGGAGGUGCAUGGCGUCAGUGACCU